AAUGAUAGCAUUUUUUUUAGAUAUAAUUGCAAUAAUAAAAAGCAUUAGCGAACCCCAAAAUUUAACUAACAAAGAAACUAGAAAAGAAUACAUUAAGACAGAUAUUGAAUUAAUCGAUGACAGCAAUCAAUCAAUAAUAUUACACUAUUGGGGAAAUGGUAAUGUAAAAUUACAAGAAAACAUGAUCACUGCUUUAAGAGAAUUAAAAUUUCUGAGUACGAAGGCAUCAAAAGAGUCAACAUUACAAAUUCAACAAUAAUUGAUAUAGAUUACAAUGGAGAAGAAAAAACAAGAUUGAGUAAAUGGAUGCAAGAUGAAGCUAAAUAAUAAUUUGAAAUCGAUAUUUAAGAAUGUAUUUAUUUAAUUUAAAAAAUAUAUAAAAUAACAGAAUACAUUGAAAUCUUACUUUUCUUGAAAAACAUAUUCAAGUUCAUAAUUGAUACUAUUAAAUAAAAUAAUACUAAUUUUUGAAAAUGAUUUUUCAAUACAGAAAUAUUAUUGUUAAACAAUGAUAAUAACGGAUAAUAAUGGUUUUAUUUAAUUUUUUAUUUAAUUUUAUUUUAAUUUUCUACUGAGGAGGUGCAUGUUAUCAUUCAAAUAAAUUGCUCUUUAAUUCAACUGCAAUGUGUAAAAAAGCAAAUCUUAUUUAUUUUAUGUCGUUAAAUUG
Long non-coding RNA from Nasonia vitripennis (jewel wasp), 667 nucleotides. RefSeq lists it as uncharacterized. The transcript is spliced from 3 exons. The record is from RefSeq and is a predicted model, not a curated record. Lineage: Eukaryota; Metazoa; Arthropoda; Insecta; Hymenoptera; Pteromalidae.